This 253-nucleotide ribosomal RNA is filed under the name uncultured bacterium. RNAcentral's name for it is "partial 16S ribosomal RNA". It matches the Rfam family "Bacterial small subunit ribosomal RNA", at positions 524 to 776 of the family's 1533-position model. The record is from RNAcentral.
UACAGAGGGGGCAAGCGUUGUUCGGAAUUACUGGGCGUAAAGGGCGCGUAGGCGGCCUUCUAAGUCAGACGUGAAAUCCCCGGGCUCAACCCGGGAACUGCGUCUGAGACUGGAAGGCUUGAAUCCGGGAGAGGGAUGUGGAAUUCCAGGUGUAGCGGUGAAAUGCGUAGAUAUCUGGAGGAACACCGGUGGCGAAGGCGGCAUCCUGGACCGGUAUUGACGCUGAGGCGCGAAAGCCAGGGGAGCAAACGGG